GACGAACCGUACGAACGUUAUUCGGAAUCACUGGGCUUAAAGGGUGCGUAGGCGGCACGGAAAGUUGGGUGUGAAAUCCCUCGGCUUAACCGAGGAACUGCGCCCAAAACUACCGCGCUUGAGGAAGAUAGAGGUGAGCGGAACUUAGGGUGGAGCGGUGAAAUGCGUUGAUAUCCUAAGGAACACCGGUGGCGAAAGCGGCUCACUGGAUCUUUUCUGACGCUGAGGCACGAAAGCUAGGGGAGCAAACGGG
Molecule: unclassified non-coding RNA, 253 nt
Filed under: uncultured Pirellulaceae bacterium
Lineage: Bacteria; Pseudomonadati; Planctomycetota; Planctomycetia; Pirellulales; Pirellulaceae
Description: contains 16S-23S intergenic spacer region
Rfam family: Bacterial small subunit ribosomal RNA
Source: RNAcentral